This is a long non-coding RNA of Micropterus salmoides (largemouth bass), 449 nucleotides long. RefSeq lists it as uncharacterized. NCBI's taxonomy places the organism in Eukaryota, Metazoa, Chordata, Actinopteri, Centrarchiformes, Centrarchidae. The record is from RefSeq and is a predicted model, not a curated record. The transcript is spliced from 2 exons.
UCUUUCUGUUCAGCCCUUGUUUGGUCAUUGUUGGUGUUACUCCCUGUCAGUUGUGGCUUCCGUCUCCCAGUCUCGUCAAGUAUUUCUUCUAUUUUCUGCUCUUGGUGUUUUGUGGAUUACCUGUGUUGGAUUUUGGUUUAGUUUCUCAUUAUGGCUUUUUAUGGAUUCAGCCACUCAGUAUCCUACGUCAGCUGAAGCUAACACGUGGUUCAACCGCAGAGAAGAACUACUGUAUUGACUAGCAUCCUGUAUGACGGCAAAUCAGAAACCUUUCGUUGUCUGUGGCCACGACGCAAAGUGAAUUUCCUCAUUCCGGCAUCAGUGCAAAAUCUCAAGUAUGUGUUGUAAAGGAGAGAGACAUGCACUUAAGCCGCAUGGCAUCAUGAAGUUUAUAAACCAGUGACAGCGAGGGUAAAGAACAUUUGAAUAAAGUCAGAAAUGAGAAGAUG